GCCGUUAACGAACGAGACCUCGACCUGCUAACUAGUGCACUCCAGUGUUCGCACUGGAGUCGUUACGCACUUCUUAGAGGGACUAUCGGUGCGCAGCCGAUGGAAGUUCGAGGCAAUAACAGGUCUGUGAUGCCCUUAGAUGUUCUGGGCCGCACGCGCGCUACACUGAUCAAGUCAACGAGUUUACAACCUUGGCCGGAAGGUCUGGGUAAUCUUUUGAAACUUGAUCGUGCUGGGGAUAGUCCAUUGCAAUUAUUGGACUUCAACGAGGAAUUCCUAGUAAGCGUGAAUCAUCAGCUCGCGUUGAUUACGUCCCUGCCCUUUGUACACACCGCCCGUCGCUAUUACCGAUUGAAUGGAUG
RNAcentral lists this ribosomal RNA (362 nucleotides) under Eukaryota sp. RNAcentral's name for it is "SSU rRNA". It matches the Rfam family "Eukaryotic small subunit ribosomal RNA", at positions 1324 to 1699 of the family's 1831-position model. The record is from RNAcentral.